RNAcentral lists this small RNA (130 nucleotides) under Arenibacter palladensis. RNAcentral's name for it is "Flavo-1 RNA". It matches the Rfam family "Flavo-1 RNA". Lineage: Bacteria; Pseudomonadati; Bacteroidota; Flavobacteriia; Flavobacteriales; Flavobacteriaceae. The record is from RNAcentral.
GUUUUGCGUAAGCGAUUGCAGUGACAUCCUUUUAUUUUUUGGAAUUCUGUGUGCUGUGCCGUUUGUUUUUUAGAUAAACAAGGCAACAGUUCCAUAAAAAUAAAAGAUAUAACGGAAAGCGCGACCCUUU